GAUGAACGCUGGCGGCGUGCCUAAUACAUGCAAGUCGAGCGAACAGACGAGGAGCUUGCUCCUCUGACGUUAGCGGCGGACGGGUGAGUAACACGUGGAUAACCUACCUAUAAGACUGGGAUAACUUCGGGAAACCGGAGCUAAUACCGGAUAAUAUAUUGAACCGCAUGGUUCAAUAGUGAAAGACGGUUUUGCUGUCACUUAUAGAUGGAUCCGCGCCGCAUUAGCUAGUUGGUAAGGUAACGGCUUACCAAGGCGACGAUGCGUAGCCGACCUGAGAGUGUGAUCGGCCACACUGGAACUGAGACACGGUCCAGACUCCUAAGGGAGGCAGCAGUAGGGAAUGUUCCGCAAUGGGCGAAAGCUUGACGGAGCAACGCCGAGUGAGUGAGGAAGGUCUUCUGAUCGUAAAACUCUGUUAUGAGGGAAGAACAAAGGUGUAAGUAACUAUGCACGUCUUGACGGUACCUAAUCAGAAAGCCACGGCUAACUACGUG
RNAcentral lists this ribosomal RNA (497 nucleotides) under uncultured bacterium. RNAcentral describes it as "partial 16S ribosomal RNA". It matches the Rfam family "Bacterial small subunit ribosomal RNA", at positions 28 to 507 of the family's 1533-position model. The record is from RNAcentral.